AACGAACGCUGGCGGCAGGCCUAACACAUGCAAGUCGAACGCCCUAGCAAUAGGGAGUGGCAGACGGGUGAGUAACACGUGGGAACGUGCCCUUCGGUUCGGAAUAACUCAGGGAAACUUGAGCUAAUACCGGAUACGUGCGAGAGCAGAAAGAUUUAUCGCCGAAGGAUCGGCCCGCGUCCGAUUAGCUAGUUGGUGAGGUAAUGGCUCACCAAGGCGACGAUCGGUAGCUGGUCUGAGAGGAUGACCAGCCACACUGGGACUGAGACACGGCCCAGACUCCUACGGGAGGCAGCAGUGGGGAAUAUUGGACAAUGGGCGCAAGCCUGAUCCAGCCAUGCCGCGUGAGUGAUGAAGGCCCUAGGGUUGUAAAGCUCUUUCGCCAGGGACGAUAAUGACGGUACCUGGAUAAGAAGCCCCGGCUAACUUCGUGUCAGCAGCCGCGGUAA
Molecule: ribosomal RNA, 449 nt
Filed under: uncultured bacterium
Lineage: Bacteria
Description: partial 16S ribosomal RNA
Rfam family: Bacterial small subunit ribosomal RNA
Source: RNAcentral